This 10530-nucleotide long non-coding RNA is filed under the name Nicotiana benthamiana. RNAcentral describes it as "long non-coding RNA (NBEN_LNC009117)". Lineage: Eukaryota; Viridiplantae; Streptophyta; Magnoliopsida; Solanales; Solanaceae. The record is from RNAcentral.
UUUCAUUCAUUCUCUCUUUAAUUUACUCUGAAUACAACUCUUACUAUAAAUUUUGAAGGAUGGAAGAUACAGUUUCAAAAAUCUUUCUGAUAUAUUGGCUCAACUUCCCAUGGAUUUCAUAAUUCUUCUUCUAUUUGGUAUAUCUGUGUGCAUGUAAAUAUUGAAGAUAUCUCCAUGGCCAACGAAAGAAUGCACCCAAAAAGGCACAACAUGAUCAGUGUUAGUGAGAAAGAGAACGACGAUUUUAUGUGAGUAGUAUUUUUGUCAAAGUAGGAAUGUUUAUUUGGAUAUUUUUUACUCUGCUUGUGUACGGUUAAUUUUUGAAUCUAUUUCCCAUUCUUAACGUCCAAAUAUGAUUGCUCACAACACAUGUCGUUAGGGUUCAUAGUUCUAUGAUUAGAAGAUAUUCUUAUUCUUAAGAAAAAAUAUAGUUAUUAUGACGAUUUCAUAAUGAUGAAGACGGAUUUCACUAACCGUAAAAUAUUGAUAAGUAAUUUCAAGUAACACAUUCAUAAUUUACUCCAAAUAUCACAGAAAGGAGGAAACUGGCCGAGAAUUAAUUUUUGAAAUCGGAUUAAAAAAACCAUGAAAUUUCUGAAGUAGGAUGCUAGAAUUGAAAGAGAGUUGGCAGACGUUUGGCCUUCUUUGAGUUUUUUUCAUUAUUAACUCAUUCUCUAUCUUGAGUAGUAAAUUCUAUGAAUGCUAAUUCGUCAAGUUGCGCAUGCUUAUAGGCCGCAACUUUGAAUGUUGCCACAACAACAAGGGCUCAUCUAUAACUGCUUUUGGAUUGGGAGUUUGUAGUCUUUGUAUGAGGCUUCUUAUUGCUAUUGUGGUUGCCUCCCAUUUUAACAGGCUGCAAAAUGAACAAGCGUUGAAGGUGCUUCAAGAAUUAUUGGUGUUGAUUUGAAUGCAAGCAUAUUUGAGCUAGGUAAAAUAUCUAACUCUGUGUGCUCUUUCUUGAACAUUAGAAUUUUUAACUUUUCUAUCUAUUGACCUUUAUUUCUAUCGUAAGUCAUUCUGUGCAGAAAAAUAAAAUUACUCAUGUUCUUUUCUAGCAAAAAAAAAGUAGUGCGACAUAAUUGUAAACCAAAAGGGCCAAAACGAACCAGUUGAGGUACUCUUAUAUGCUUCUAUCUCCUAAUGUAUCAGUUUAUAUUAGCAAAAAAUUGAGUUAAAGUCUAUAACCCCUUUCUAAAUUUCUCAAAUGUUUGAUAUAUUAUUGCGGAGAUGACAGAUGGUGGAGUACACAGGUCAAAUUUUAAAAAAUUAAAUAAUAAGCAUUUCAAAGUAAAGGAAGUAUUUUGUAAUUUUAAAAAUUACUCAUCUAUGCAUCUAUCUCCAGAUGUAUCAGUUUAUAUUAGCAAAAAUUGAGUGAAAGCCUUUCAUCUCUUUCUAAAUUUCUCAAAUAUUUGAUAUGUAAUUGAUGAGAUGAUUAAUGGUGGAGUGAAGGGUGGAGUUUACAUGUCAAAUUUAAAAAGAAUAAAUAAUAUUCCUUUCAAAGUAAAUGAAGUAUUUCGUAGUUUUAGAUAGUGAGGACAUUUAUUCCAACAAUAUGUUUAUUUCUGAAGGACCUAAUUAUACAUGACACUACAUAGUGAUAGGCGUGGUUAAUUAAAUGAGCUCUUUUUAAUCAAACUGCAUUUUGCUUUUCCUAAUGUUAUCUUUUUAGUGGAGUAAUAAACAGAUGAGAAUAAAAAUCCCACUUAAAAAAGGAAGUACUUCAUAGUUUUGAAAAUUACUCAUCUAUGCAUCUAUCUCCAGAUGUAUUAGUUUAUAUUAGUAAACAUUGAGUGAAAGUCUUUCAUCUCUUUAUAAAUUUUUCAAAUGUUUGAUAUGUAAUUGAUGAGAUGAUUAACGGCGGAGUGAAGGGUGGAUUGUACGUGUCAAAUUUAAAAACAAUAAAUAAUAUUCCUUUUAAAAUAAAGGAAGUAUUUCUUAGUUUUAGAUAGUGAGGACACUUAUUUCAACAAUAUAUUUAUUUUUGAAGGACCUAAUUAUACGUGACACUACAUAAUGAUAGGUGUGGUUAAUUAAAUGAGCGCUUUUUAAUCAAAUUGCAUUUUGCUUUUUCUAAUGUUAUCUUUUUAGUAGAGUAAUAGAUAGAUGGGAAUGAAAAUCCCACUUGAAAGGCAGAAAUGUGCCUUUAUACCACUCUUAUUACAUAACAUUAGGUUAUGGACGAGAAAAUUAAAGGGUUGUGAUGUCCAUCGUCAUGCACUAAUGUGGAUAAAUGGAUGUUUUACCCUUUUGGAUCUUUAUUUUUGUAGCAAGUUUUUGAAUAUUGAAUUAUUUAUGCAUUAACUUGACAUAAUAGAACAUUGCACCUACUAAACAAAAGUAGUGAAAAGUAAUAUAGAGUAAGAAACGAGGUUUGUACAUCUAAAAUGUGUAACCCAACAUGAAUAGUGGAACAAUAACCAGAUGAGGCCUAAAUUUAUAGGAUUAUUUGUUGAAGUGAAAUAACACUUGGUCGUUAUUAGGUGUAGGACAUCCAAAGGAUAGGUGGUGUAAUUCGUAUCAAUAAAAGUAUGGAAGAAAUCAAUAGAGUUGUGUACUGCAGCAGUGCAACCAACUGAGUAGUAGUUGAGGGAGGGGAAGAUAUUAGUAUUUCACCUAAAAUGCUUUAGGUAUACCUCCUAAUAUGAGGUUACACUUCUAGAUUGAUAAAGAAAAAGGGACUUGGUAUUUUUUUCCUCUGUCCCUGUCAUGUUUCUGUUGUAAUUCUUUUACCUUUUUGUUGUCUAAUGAACUUGAUAUUAACAAAGAAGUUAUGGUGGAUCAGCAGUGAACAUGGCUUGGAUUAACAUAAAAUAUAAUUUCAGAAUCAUAUAAUUUUUUUUUGUAUUUCGUAAUGAAAUUUUCCUCAAACAUAAAACAUAAUUUCAGAAUCAUAUAUUUUUUUGUAUUUCGUAAUGAAAUUUUCCUCAACUAUAUUGCAACCACCCUUUAAAUAGUGGUAUUAUUGUGGAGGAUAGACUUUAAGAACAAUAUUAUUUAUAUUUUUAUAAUUUCUUGCAAAGCUAAAGAACUUUUAUUGAUCACUAAACUAGCCACCGCUAUAAUAUAAUUAUUGAUAUUUUGUUCUUUGUCAAAUUUUUACUUUCUAUGUCUAAGGUUUUGAACUUUUCAUCAAUAUUUUCAAUGAUACAAUAUGGUAAGUUCUCUUAUUUAUAAAUCUUCAUUUCAACGUGGGUCAUAUCAUAUGAAGAGAAUUAUAGCAUUUUGAGAACAUCAUUUUUAGGGUACAAAUUUAUGGAACUUAUUAGUUCCUAUCUCCCAUCAGAAUUUUCAAGAUGCCACAUUUGACAAAUUUAUACUAUUUUUCACUUUAUUUUUCUGCAAAUAAUUUUUCUCUAUGUAAUGUUUUGUCACAUGUCUAUAGUUUAAAGGAAUUUCAAUGACCAAAUAUAACAUAAUAAAGUGUUAGUAAGCACCUUAUAUAAUGCAACAUGUAAGAGUCGCAAAAUUAAUGCAGAACAGAACCCUUUUCUUCGUUCUUCUCUCGGCGCACGUUAGUUAACGUACGCCGAGCUCGUAUCUAUGGCGAGAGAUACUUAAACCCUUCUUCUUCGUUCUUCUCUCGGCGCACGUUAGUUAACGUAUGUCGAGCUCGUAUCUAUGGCGAGAGGGAGGGGUCGAGGUAGGGGACGACCCAGAAAAAUUCCGAUUUCCACCAUAGAUAGAAUCAUCACAACCAUAAAUCAACCAUCUACGGAGAAACUGACCACCACUGGUGCAACUGAGCAGCCAGUCGAUUCGUCAUGCGAAGGUGAGAAUCCUUUGAUUUCACAGCAAUCUAAUGAGGUAAUGGAGAUGGAACGAAGCUAUCCUCCUUCGGUUAAAGCAUCGUUAACUCCGAUGAAGCAGAUGGCCGGUGAAAAUGGACACAUGCAGAAGCUUAUUCCAGUCCAAGCUCAAUCAGUGAUGGGUAUAACGAAGCCAGUGGAGGAGACUUCAAGAAAAACCGAUGUACCAAAGAGGAAUUGGGCUUAUCUUUUUCAGAAGAAUCGAUUUGUUUCUAAUGGUGUGGCACUAGAAUACAUCCCCCCGCUAAUGAUCGAAGGUCAACCAGUAGGGCAGUUGAACAAAGCAGGGCUAAUCUUUUUCAGAAGAAUCGAUUUACUUCUAAUGGUAUGGCACUAGAAUACAUCCCCCGGCAACGAUUGAAGGUCAACCAGUAGGCCAGCUGAACAAAGCAGAGGUGGAGGAGGAAGAAAAUAAGUGGAAGUGUGCCCUAAUUGUCUAUAUUUUAGGGGAUGGGCUUGGGUAUAACGCGAUGAAGAGAUUCAUCAGCCUCCAUUGGUCACAUGUACCAGAACUAGAGCUGUUUUAUCACGAGGAAGGAUACUACAUAGUGAAGUUCCGAACAAUUGAUGAUGCCAAAAAAGUUUUAUGUGCUGGUCCUUAUUCUAUAGCAAAUAGGCCCAUGAUUCUCAAGCAAUGGACGUCAGAUUUCGAUUUCACUGAGGAAUUCCCUGCUGAGAUUCCACUGUGGGUCAAAUUUCCUAAACUCCCUAUGUCCUGUUGGGGAAUGAGAUCCUUGAGUAGAAUAGCAGAUUUUGAUUUCACUGAGGAAUUCCCUGUUGAGAUUCCACUAUGGGUCAAAUUUCCUAAACUUCCUAUGUCUUGUUGGGGAAUGAGAUUCUUGAGUAGAAUAGCCAGUGUGUUAGGAAAACCUAUUUUUGCGGAUGAAUGUACAAUCAAACAAUCUAGAAUUUCCUAUGCUCGAAUGCUCAUAGAGAUGAAUGUUAUCAAAGAUCUACCUAGGGAUAUAUGGUUAAUGGAUGCAAAUGGGAAGAAAUUUCUGCAAGAAGUGGUUUAUNNNNNNNNNNNNNNNNNNNNNNNNNNNNNNNNNNNNNNNNNNNNNNNNNNNNNNNNNNNNNNNNNNNNNNNNNNNNNNNNNNNNNNNNNNNNNNNNNNNNNNNNNNNNNNNNNNNNNNNNNNNNNNNNNNNNNNNNNNNNNNNNNNNNNNNNNNNNGGUUGAUGAAUCCUAAACCAAUCCAGCCUCCUCAAGUGAAGAAACCUAAAGUGAUUCAGGAAUAGAGAACCAAAGCUCCAAUCCAGACUGUUCAGAAUCAUCAUGAGGUUCCUCUACAGCAAACUGAGACAAGGCAGAGCAGUGUAUCUAAGAGAGAGCCUCAUGACCCCUCAUCCCUUGUAACAGGAAAGAACAAACAGGAAGACAAAGGGAAGCAAGUUCAAUCCCCAGAAUUCAACCUCACCAACUUCCCACCUUUAUCUCCUAUUGUGGUUAGUAAUCGAUUUGAAGCUAUGUCUAUUAGUAGAGUUGAGAAUUCUCCAGAGGAUGAAGGAGGACCUAGCAACUGUCAAUGAAGUGGCUAAUCUGGAAUAUUAGGGGUGUAAGUAAGAGGUAUAAACAAAAGAAGUUAGGGAGGACGACCUAGCAACUGUCAAUGAAGUGGUUAUCUGGAAUAUUAGGGGUGUAAAUAAAAGGUAUAAACAAAAAGAAGUUAGGGAAUAUAUUAGGAAUAAUUAUAUUAACCUUGUUGGUCUGGUAGAGACCAAGGUUAAAGAAAAGAAUGCAGACAGGAUUGCUAAGAUGUUGGUUCCUGGUUGGGGUUUACUAACAAAUUAUCAGGGCUCCAUAAAUGGUAGAGUAUGGAUUAUAUGGGAUACACAAUUGAUCAGAGUCACUGGUAUCCAGGAGGAGGCUCAAUUGAUUCACUGUAGAGUCAGAAACANNNCAUAAUUGAUCAGAGUCACUGGUAUCCAGGAGGAGGCUCAAUUGAUUCACGGUAGAGUCAGAAACAUUUCUGGAGAUGCCAUCUGUUACCUCACUGUGGUGUAUGGCUUUAAUGGGAUGGACCAGAGGAGAUCACUAUGGAAAAAUUCUGCAGCAUUAUUCUGUUGCUAUUACUGAACCUUGGUUAAUUGCUGGUGAUUUCAAUGUUGUUCUGUAUGCUAAUGAUAGACAGUCAAGUAAUUAAGUGAAGCAAGCAGAGAUCCAAGAGUUCACUCAAUGUAUUCAACAGGCUGGACUUUCAGAACUUCCCUGGAAAGGGGAGUAUUUCACCUAGACAAAUAGGCAGACAGGCAGUGAUAGAGUAUGUAGUAGACUGGACAGAGUCUUUGACAAUUAUGAGUGGAUGAUUAACUGGAGUCAUGUGCAAACUGUAUAUGAUCAUCCCUUAAUCUUUGAUCAUAACCCUAUGGUGAUUACACUGGCAGAAGCUACUAGGAAAGGGAAUACUCCUUUCAGAUUCUUCAACACAUGGGCCAAUCAUGAAGACUUUUAUCAGUUGGUCAAAGACAACUGGCACAGUAAUAAUCAGUUAUCUAUGAAAUUAGUGUGGUCUAAUCUCAAGUCAUUGAAAGGCCCCUUAAAAUCUUUAAACACUAAAGAUUUUAAGAACAUUAGUUAGAGAAUUGAUCAUUGUAGACAAGAAUUGAAGGACAUCCAGAAUCAGAUGGCACUGGAUUACACUGAUGAGUUGCAACUUAAAGAGAAGGAAAUAGCAGUGAAGCUGGAAAAGUGGUCCUUGAUUGAAGAAAGUAUGCUACAACAGAAGUCCAGGGUAAAAUGGAUCCAACUGGGUGACUCUAACAACAAGUAUUUCUCUACUUCUACAACAGAAGUCCAGGGCAAAAUGGAUCCAACUGGGUGACUCUAAGAACAAGUAUUUCUCUGUUGUCCUGAAGGAAAGAAAUCAACACAAGCAUAUCACUGAGCUUAUUACACCUGGUGGUCUCAAGGUUACUAAUCCAGAUGACAUUAAAAAGGAGAUCAAUGACUUCUAUAAGUCAUUAAUGGGCACAACAGCUGCUUCUCUGCCAGCCAUAAACCGAGUGUAUAUGACCAAUGGCCCUACCUUAACACAUCAACAGAAGAAAGAGUUAAUUUCUGAUAUUACUGAACUUGAGAUUCUGGAAAGUUUAAAGGCAAUUGGGGAUGACAAAGCCCCUGGAAUUGAUGGAUACAAUGCAGUGUUUUCCAAGUAGACAUGGAACAUCAUUGGCAAGCAGAUCAUAGGUGCAGUCAAGGAUUUCUUCCACACUACCAAGAUGUACAAACCAGUAAAUUGUGCCUCUCUCAUUUUGAUCCCUAAAGUCCCUAACUCAACCACAGUCAAAGAAUACAGACCAAUUGCAUGCUGCUCAGUUUUGUACAAAACGAUUUCCAAGAUAUUAGCCAACAGAAUGCAGAAAAUCAUGUCUAGCAUCAUUUGUGAAGCCCACUAUAUAAAAUGAUUUCCAAUAUCCUAGCCAACAGAAUGCAGAAAGUCAUGUCUAGCAUCAUUUGUGAGGCCCAAGCAGGAUUCAUCCCGGGCAGGAAGAUUGCAGACAAUGUUAUCCUGGCUCAUGAGUUGAUCAAAAACUAUUCCAGAUCCCAUGUGACUCCUAGAUGCAUGAUCAAAAUUGACCUGCAGAAGGCCUAUGAUUCUGUCAAAUGGAUCUUCUUGCAACAGGUAAUGGAAGCAUUGGGUUUUCCAGCCAGAUUCACAAACUGGAUCAAGGAAUGUGUUCAAACAUUAAGCUAUACAGUGAUGACUAGUGGGGAAACAACUGAACCUUUUAAAGCUGCUAAAGGCCUUAGACAAGGUGAUCCAAUCUCCCCUAAAGCUGCUAAAGGCCUUAGACAAGGUGAUCCAAUUUCCCCAUUCCUAUUUGCAAUAGUCAUGGAGUAUCUAAGUAGAUCUCUGGCUGAACUGAAGAAAGACCAAGAAUUCAUAUACCAUCCAGGUUGUAAAAGGCUGGGCAUCACUCACAUAAGUUCUGCUGAUGAACUACUUCUGUUUGCUAAAGGAGAAAGUCAGUCUGUCAUUACCAUGUUCAAGUAUUUCUCCCAGUUCACUGAAGCAUCUGGGCUGAAAGCCAAUCUGAGCAAAAGUUCAGUAUACUUUGGAGGGGUUAGUUCUGAAGUUCAGCAGCAGAUUACUGAUCACCUAGGUUAUGUGUAUGGAGAUUUUCCUUUCAAAUAUUUGGGCAUUCCUCUAUCCACCAAGAAGAUGGCAUUGAGAGUGGCAACCUCUGGUAGAUAAGAUCACUGCUAGGAUCACCUCAUGGACUGCUAGAAAGUUGUCAUAUGCUGGGAGGAUGCAAUUGGUACAGUCAGUGGUUUUUGGUAUACAGUCUUACUGGGCACAACUCUUCCUUAUCCCUACUAAGAUUCUAAAGCUUAUUGAAGCAGUCUGCAGAAGUUUUAUUUGGUCUGGAUUAGUUGUUAUCUCUAAGAAGGCCUACAUUGCAUGGGACAAAAUGUGUUUGCCGAAGUCCGCUGGUGAGCUCAACCUCACAAAUCCUCUUUUUGUGGAACAAGGCAGCUAUUGCUAAACUUUGCUGGGAUCUGGCUCACAAGAAAGACACACUGUGGGUCAAAUGAAUUCACACUGUUUAUAUAAAACAGCAGCAACUGGAGAAUACUCCUAUCCCCAAGCAAGCUAGUUGGAUGGUACGAAAGAUAAUUGCAGCAAGUGGACUGCUACAACAACACCAAAGUCUGCACAUGCCAGUAUGCUCCAUCAGAUGCAACUAGAGAACACUCCUAUGCCCAAGCAAGCUAGUUGGAUGGUACGAAAGGUAAUUGCAGCAAGUGGACUACUACAACAACAUCAAAGUCUGCACAUGCCAGUAUGCUCCAUUAGGCAACUCUAUCUGUUUCAGAUUGGCCAACUCCCGAGAGAUCCAUGGAAGAAUCUAACUGCUCAAAGCUAUGCUAGGCCCAAGGCUGUCUUUAAUUUAUGGUUGGUGCUUUAUGAUAGGCUACCAAACAAGGAUAGGCUGCUACAUUGGGGUAUGAAUAUGGAUAACAUAUGUGUUCUGUGCCAGCACGCUCCGGAAACCAGAUACCACCUUUUCCAUAGUUGUUCAUUUGCUACAUAACUAAGGGAUCAGACACUGUCCUGGAUCAGAGAGAGGUAUGACUGUGGAUAACAAAUGUGUUAUGUGCCAGCAAGCUCCGGAAACCAGAGACCAUCUUUUCCACACUUGCCCAUUUGCUACUGAAUUAAGGGACCAAACUCUGUCCUGGAUUAGAGAAGAUCACUCCAAUAUGCAGAACUGGGAGUAGUUUAUACAGUGGAUUGUUAGUAAAGCUAAAGGGAAAUCAAGUAGGGGUAACAUAUUCAAAAUGGUGGCAGCUGAACUAUUCUACGCUUUGUGUUUGGCGAGAAAUGCGAGGAUUUUUGAGAAUGUUUUCCGCAGCAGUGACAACCUACUCAGGGACAUAGCGUAUACUUGUAAUGUUAGAGGAACCCCUAAAAUUAGACAACAGCUUCAGCAAUAUCUUCUUUAAUAGAGGGAUAGUUAUAGAGAUAGUUGAUAUAUAGUCUAAAUAUGAUAGUCAUGCAGAGGAUGAACUAUGGUUUUGUAUGAAAAUCUCUUUGGUAUUUAAUAAAAUCCUUAAUUACCAAAAAAAACAUGUAAGAGUCGCCUGGAGGGAAUAGUAAAGUCGAGACAGUAAGCAACAAAAUAGCCGAACCAGCACUAAAUAUUAUGCAAGCUUACUAUAAAAAUUCUUAAAAGGGUUUCAUUGUUGGUUGACAUCUAGAAAUACGAACGGAAUUUAAUAAUGUUUAUAUUCCUUUCGUUACUACUUUGGGUUUUACCAUUUUCUUAAUUUUAGGAUUGAGAGAAUUCGAAUGAGGAUUAGAAAGCAUAGAUAAUAUAUGAUAACCAAGGAUUUUGGUAUUUUUUCUGUUCACUCGUCAUCUUCAACUUUUUCUUAGGUUUUCUUUGUUGCACUCCUUUCAUUUUUCUUUUUGAUUUUGCAUUUACUACUAUAUUUAAGAAGAUAACAACUUAUAAUUUUGUGUUUGUUGUUUCUGAUUUUUGUAUAUCUUUUGUACUGUUUGCAGCUGUCCAAUUGGAUGUAUAUGGUUUGUUCCAUGACCUUAACUGACAUUCCGAGGAAGCUACCAUUUGCUCAUUGAAAAUGUCGACUGAAAAUAAGGUUAAACAUGUGGUUGCAACUGAAUAUGCUCCAAUCGUCCCUCAAUCAUAGUUUUAUUCUUUUUGGUUUGUACGUGCCUCGAUAUCUAAUUUUUGUGGGAGCCAUGUUGAUAGAAGAAGUGUAAUGGUUAUAGUUAAUUCAGUAAAAUUAUAUAGCGAUAACAGAUAUUAAAGUCUUUUUUCUUAUGAAUUAUUUUUAGAAUACACGGGUAGGAGAGUAAUUCUUUUAAGUUAUGAGAUGUUUUUGACAUUUGCGUUAAAAAUACUACUUUUAUACUCUUAAGUUAUUGAUCCUUCGUUAGGUUGGGGUGUUAGCUUUUCUGUAUAUUUUUCAUGAUACAUUAAAUGGAGAUGGUUACAUAACAAGUGCAAUUGGUUUGUCUCAUUGCAUAAGAGACUAAAUUAUUUAGGGAGAGAUUUUAUGUUUCUUAGGAACAUAGUGGGACUCUUCAAUGUUUAUCACAAGGUAAGAGAGAACUAUUUUUGGUUGAUGUAUUGCGAUGACCAUCUUCCCUGUCAUAUGUUCAAGGAUUUAAUGUAUGCUUUAUUUGGAGGAAGAAGCAAGAGGGAAUAAUGUAGCACUUAAUGUUAGUGAAUUUUUGCAUUCCAUGUAUAUUUGGG